Molecule: long non-coding RNA, 210 nt
Filed under: Elaeis guineensis (African oil palm)
Lineage: Eukaryota; Viridiplantae; Streptophyta; Magnoliopsida; Arecales; Arecaceae
Description: long non-coding RNA (EGUI_LNC029467)
Source: RNAcentral
AUCUCAGAAUUUGGAUAGCUUUUUGGAUUUGGCAUGUAGAUGACUCGGAGAAGUUAUUUCCUUUUACGGGAGACUCAAUUGUGGAGAAAUUCUUUUUUUAUCUGGACUUUCCCAAUUUGGGAUAGAGAGAUGCGAAUCUAGUGUCCAGGAGCUUAGCUCGGCUACGGAUGAGCUAUAAUAGAUCGUUAUAGCUCGUCCAUGGUCGAGGUU